GGAGCUCCUGACACUGCCAGGCAGUAAGGAAAACAGAUGGCUGUUGCUUUUGAAGCCAGUAACAUUAAUUUCUGUGCCUGUUGUGUAUUUUUCCUCCUUCCCCUAGAUUUUCCAACUCCUGCAGUAGCUCCUGUAGCAGCCAGGCAUUGGCAGACAUGUUGGAAGGCAGCCACGCAGGCGGUGGAGUAUAGCUGAUACCUGUAGAUGGGGCCUUGUUUUUUCCCCAAAACCAGCAAUCAAUGUGGACCUGCCACACUGCUAAGGGCAACAUACGGAAGCCUGCUAUCUGACUAAUGCUUACCAAGUGUUACAAUGCUUGAGUGGAGGGAAAUAUGCAACCUUGUGACCCUGAAUCAGAAUAGCCAAACUCCAUCUGCUCUGAAACUUCAAACGGAACACUUCCAAGUACCAGAUAGUUGAUAAGCCAUUACAUCAAUGAGGAGCAACUUCCUUGCUGCAUUUCUUGGCUGCUCCUAGAAGCCCAGCUUCUUCUGCUUAGUGUCUAAGAGGUCUUUGUCUCCUGUUACUUUCCUGGCAAUAACUUCAUUUCACUUCUUUAUCUGCAUCAAAUUUUCUCAGUAAGAUUCUUGUCCACAGUCCUCAAGAAAUUCAGAUCCUGUAAAAAUUUUUGCACUUCUCACCCAGCAAGCUCUUUCCAGUCUGAUGAUCAACUCUUAUUCUCUUUUUGUGCUGGCCUCUCAUUUGCUUUUUUUCUUAGCUUUUGUUUAUCUAUCAUUUCCAUCCUUCCGCUAUGUAAGAAGCAUUAGAAAAAUAGGCACUUCAAGAUAAUUUGCUGCUGUUAAGCAGCUGAACAUUGCUACUCUCAGGGGGCAAGGGAGAAUCUGAAAUGUGGAGUCUUUCUUCCAUCAGGAAAAUCAGAGAACACCAAAGAAAACAGAGCAUUUCUGUAAAAAUUUGCUGUAUGUUGUCCAGUUUCUGCUUAAAGCUUUCAGAUUUGUGUAACUUUUCUCUAGAACCAAUAUAACUUCUAUGUGAAAAAGCCCCCAUUCUUCAAACUAGGUAAUUAUUUGGUUUAUGCUCCUGUGGUGUCAUUAACAUAUUUUUAAUCCAUACAGGUCUUCUCCUGUUGUUUUUACAUGCACAAGGUAGCACCUCACAAUUGCUAUUUAGCUAUGUGACUGCUGUAGCUGGGUUUCCUGUUACACAACUCAACCCUCUGGUUUUAAACCAACAAAUGCCACCUGUCUGUACCAGCCAGGAUGCAGCCCACAGUCAAGGCAGUUUCUUUUCCCACUUACCAAUUGGUUCACCUUUUUUUCUCAGCCAGAAUAGAUUAUUAGAGAUGCCCCUGCUUUAUUCAGGUCAUUCUUGGUGUGAAUUAUUUGCAAGUAUAAGCCUGCAAGCAAAUUCACUGUAGGUGUAUUUUCAAAGCUGUGAAAAGAAGACUAUAAACAUUACAUAUAACCUGAGGUGUACUGUGUAAUUUAUACCAUAUAAAUAAAUUAUUAAAAUUUUUUUUUCAUUCGCCUAAUUUCAUAAUUCGAUUUUUAUGGGGAUGUGUUGGUGCCCCCAGCAGGCUCUUAGAAAAAUUAAAUCUGGAAUCCUUUGAACCAAAUGUUGCAGAAAGAAUUAACUUGUUUACUGUAUUGUGAUGAAUAGAAUAGCUGCAUUGAAUAUAUAUGAAGCUGCACAAUGAAUUACUAUGUAAAUGUGUUAUCAAGUGCAAAUAUGUGCCACGUAUGAUCUUUAUCUAUAGCAGACCAUAUCACAUUGUACAAGUAAAUAUAAAGCUCUGAUCUCUUUCAUUAUAGGACUUCUGUGAUGCCAACUACAGUCCUGUUCUUAGAGUAGUGAAGAACACCAAUGCAAAAGGGACAGUCUCAGACUUAUUGAAAGUCCUGGACUUUCACUGCAUGUAUUUCUGAAAUUAUUGCUUGCACUAGAAUAAUUUGUGAAUUUGAUCUGAAUUGCACUCAUAGUAGUGUGUCUUCUUGACUGAAAGAAUUUGCAGAAAAUAAUUUAAAGACCUGUUUCUUUAUUCACUGCAGAUCACAAGUCAUUAUUUCAUAUAAAGUCUAACUAAAUUAUAUGCCCCAUUUUGUUAUAUGUAUAAUGUUUUACAGGUCUCAAUUUUGCAAACAAGGAAUCACUCUGAGAGCUAAGGCAUUGGAAGCUAGAGAAGAAAGGCUAUUGAAUUCACCUUUGACCCACAUGACAGGAAUUUUAUUUGCCUGGAAUCCAAGUACCACGUUCUUUUUGCCCUUGAAAACCUCAAAUUCUAAGGGGAGGUGUGGUACUCACAUAAAUAAAAAUGUCUACUACUGAGAAGUUGUUUCAUGAAUUACCACAAAGGAGCUCUGGGAGAGUGCAGUCAAAUGAUUUUAUGCCCCAUAUCUCAUGAAUAAUACACAUAUAGAAAUAAAUAGAAUAACCUCAACACUGCAUCAGAGUCUCUACAUUGCAUCAGAACUUUGUUUUUUAAGUGUCUAUGCAUCAAUACAAAAACACAACAGAGAAAAAAAAUAGAUACAUUUGAUUUCUGGAACUGAUUCCUAGCAGAAAUGGGGAACAGACCAGGAAAAGUAAAUUUCCUAUAGUGAUCAAGCAAUGUUGAAAAUAGUAUCUAUUGGAAUUUAGUCUGAAAUGAUUGAUAUUAUGAAAAUAAGGGUCCUAAGGAAGACCACCUUAUACACAUCACAAAUUUUCUUGCUGAGGUAUCAUCUGCGAGGACAUAGAAAACAUGAAGUUAUUUAAUUGAGUACCUUGCUCCUAGAAAUUCACAGGCUUUCCCUCAGACUCCACAUAGUAAAAUAAUGAAAACUAGGUAUUUCAUAAUAAUAAAUAAUAAUAAUCAAAUGGCUUCAAUAGCAUCUGGAGAGAAUUUAGGGGCAGACCAUGAACCAGUGCUCUUCCUGCCCAGUAUAUCCAUCUGUAUUCAGCAGAGAGAGCUGACACCAAGUUGUGAAGAUGAAACUUGGCCUGAACAGUCAAAAUAUGCUCAUCUGGCUCUACAGCUAAGCAAAACCACCUUUUCUUUCAGCCUUUGAUGAAAAUCUAUGAUUCCUGAAAUACAGCAAAGCUGGCAGGGAAGGAUAAAGGAGUACAAAACUAGACAUAUAGACAAUAAGAACUUUCAUCUGCUUUUGUACUUUGGAUGAAAGAACGAGUGGAUAAUUACAAUCUAAUAAUUAAUUCCAUUAGCCAUAACUAUGUUCCAGAGAAAGUGAGACAUUUGAGCUGGCAAUCCAGUGUGGAUAAGGCACACUGGAGUUUCCAAGUGCAUGCUUUGUGUUAUAAAUGAACACUUACAGAGUCAGGCCCAGAGGCAGCACAGCUGCUUUCAGACAGUGAGGAGCUGAAAUAACCUGUGAGGCUCUUGUGGGUAUGUGGAAAGCCAGCCUAGCACUUCACGCAUCCUAUUCCUAUGACUGGGCACAAAGCCAGACCUUCUUCACCAUGUCUGUGAUUCAGCCCCUGCUGAUCAGUUUGAUUUGGGUCUGUUAAGAAGCACUGAUGCACUUCUGUACUCCCAGAAUAAGGAGCAGGCUGUGGGGGUCUAGUGUGGCACCAAGUUCUACUGUCACCCGAAUAUUGUACUGAAAAGGGACAUAGCACAGUCUGAGUCCCGACCUGCCUUAUAUCUUAGGCAACUGCAAAGUACUUCCCUGAUAUUUAUCAACUUGAAAUUCCUUAUGUUGGCCUGGGUUCUGCAUACAAAACUUUGUUUUAACACAGUAUGCUGAUGUGUCCAUAAAUCUAAACAAUAAUAAAUUAACAUUUAUUAAAUGCAUUAAAGCAUUGCAUCUUCAAAGAACUAUACUUCAUCUGCUAAUUAAUCUUGACAAUACUCUUGUGACUAAGUUAGAACUUGUUUAUUUAUUUCAAUAGACUUUCCUGUGAACUAACUAGGGAGUUAUCCUGAAUUAGUGAGGAGCACAGGAACAAGACAGAACAGAGAAUGAUGCAAAAAGGGAAGGAAGUCCUUACUUGUUCUGCAACUCUCUUGCUAGGUUAUUGUAUGCUGGGUUUAUUGAUUAGCAUUGAAGAGGAGAAUCAAUACUUUGCUUUACAGGACAGUUUUACUAAUACAUGCACUGAUUUAAAGAAUGUACAUAAUCACAUCUUUUGCAGCCCUCACAGCAUAUGAAUCCCAAAAGAACUCACAUGCAGGUUUCUCUGUCUUUAUUCCACUACAGGCUGAUUACUCCUUUGAAGUCCGUAGGUGUUCUGUGUACAACUGAUAACACAUUUUGGUUCCUCCAACCCUAAGCACACUGAAUGUGGCACUGCUGUAUUCUAAACAUGGAUCACAGUUCUGUCAGUCUCAAUCUUGCUCUCAAGACUUCUGUGUGAUACACGAAUUUAAACUAUUGCUUGAGGUAGAAUUUCUGUGCUCAUUCUGGACUUAUACUUUUUAUAUUGGCUUCCAUAUAACAAUACAAAACAUGCUUAAAAUUAACUUAAGUGAAAUUAUUACUGUAGUUACUUGAAAAUUCUUGAAGUUUUUGGUAUAAUUAGUGGGAUAAAGAGUUUUCCACAGUAGCUCUCCUUUGUACCCUAUUUUUGUGUAAUCUUAAUAAACCUAAUAAAUGAAUUUUUUUUAAGCUCUAAUAACUAUGAUUUAGUGUUUUGGUUCAAGUUUUUCACAGCAAGUUUCUAUUUGAAGAUAUUUUUUUUUUCUGGAAAAUUUUAGCAAGAUCUCAUUGGCUGUAUUUGAGUAAGUGUGAGUGAAUGAGUAUUUGUACGGGUCAGAAAAAGCAAAGAAAUAGUCAAAGUACUAAAUUCAACAUGAUUUGUCUUAUGUCCCAUAAUGCAAACAGCAGUUUGGACCCUACAAAGUUGAACUCUUAUUCUUACAGGCAUGAUAUAUCUUGAAGACUGGCUGAUUUCAUGUUUGCUGUGGUUUAAGGGCUUCUUAAGGGCAUGGCCCUGUCACUCCUUUGUAAACUGUGGGAAGUUAAAAGGCCAGUUGAUCUUUCACAUACUUCAUGUGGCAAUUCUCCAUUUCCCAGCAGCAAUCUCCUUUGAAAGCAGCUGCCAUCUUAAUUCUUUGGCUGCUUAAUCACAUCUCACAAAUCAGAUUCUAAAAAGUCCCAUUAGCCUUCUGUUCAAUAAGGAGAAAUUAAAUCUCAAAUAUCUUUUUGGUCAUCUUUUUUUUUCCUACAAGUGUAUAGCUUAGAAAAGCAAUGAAGAAUGGGCACUGUGAGGCAGCAGGAGGAGGUACAGAGUAUAAACUAAUGAAGUGUGCUUUAGCAUUUUCCUUCUAGUAUAUGUUCUCAAAAGUGAAUGGGCACUUGACACCAUUAACAUAAGGCCAGUAGUCUAAAAUUAUGUUUCCUAGGCUUGUUAUGGUCUGAAUUCUUAAGAGUCACAGGAUAAUCUGCACUCUAUUUGACUUGUCAUGUGAGCUAUAUAAUGCUUAUUUGGUACCUUUCAUCUCAGGAGAACAUGGACUGGGGCCUGGGAUUUCCGAUUUCAAUAGUCAGGAACUCUGCCAUUUCUGUGCAGUUUGGAUGUCGGGGUCCCUUCCCCCCCGCCAUGUAGCCCUGGGAGAGGGGCC
This is a long non-coding RNA of Corvus hawaiiensis (hawaiian crow), 5521 nucleotides long. RefSeq lists it as uncharacterized. Lineage: Eukaryota; Metazoa; Chordata; Aves; Passeriformes; Corvidae. The transcript has 4 exons. The record is from RefSeq and is a predicted model, not a curated record.